Molecule: long non-coding RNA, 339 nt
Filed under: Durio zibethinus
Lineage: Eukaryota; Viridiplantae; Streptophyta; Magnoliopsida; Malvales; Malvaceae
Description: long non-coding RNA (DZIB_LNC000711)
Source: RNAcentral
UUAUUAUGAAAUAAUUGUUUUAAUUUAACGUAGAUAUAUGUUUCAAAAUUUAAAAAUUAAUCUCUUAUUAUUUUUUUUCUCUUCUUUCCUCGUUUUCCUUUUCUACCGAUUUGAAUUCCUUAAGCCGAUUUUGAUCAAUCACCAAUCGGACCUAAUCAGACAAGGUCGGAUCUAGUGUUGAUAGGUUAGAAAAUGCUUGAAACCAGGCGAAAUCGGCCUAAAGAGACUGAAAUCCAAUUCGAAACCUGGAACAGAUUUUGACUUGUUUAGGCCGCUUUUAGACUAUUAGUGCUGGAUUCCACUCGUCUAGCCAAAAUCCGGUGCGUGACUAGCUGAAAU